AGACCCGAAACCCGGUGAUCUAGCCAUGGGCAGGUUGAAGGUUGGGUAACACUAACUGGAGGACCGAACCGACUAAUGUUGAAAAAUUAGCGGAUGACCUGUGGCUGGGGGUGAAAGGCCAAUCAAACCGGGAGAUAGCUGGUUCUCCCCGAAAGCUAUUUAGGUAGCGCCUCGUGAAUUCAUCUCCGGGGGUAGAGCACUGUUUCGGCUAGGGGGCCAUCCCGGCUUACCAACCCGAUGCAAACUGCGAAUACCGGAGAAUGUUAUCACGGGAGACACACGGCGGGUGCUAACGUCCGUCGUGAAGAGGGAAACAACCCAGACCGCCAGCUAAGGUCCCAAAGUCAUGGUUAAGUGGGAAACGAUGUGGGAAGGCCCAGACAGCCAGGAUGUUGGCUUAGAAGCAGCCAUCAUUUAAAGAAAGCGUAAUAGCUCACUGGUCGAGUCGGCCUGCGCGGAAGAUGUAACGGGGCUAAACCAUGCACCGAAGCUGCGGCAGCGACACUCAGGUGUUGUUGGGUAGGGGAGCGUUCUGUAAGCCUGCGAAGGUGGCCUGUGAGGGUUGCUGGAGGUAUCAGAAGUGCGAAUGCUGACAUAAGUAACGAUAAAGCGGGUGAAAAGCCCGCUCGCCGGAAGACCAAGGGUUCCUGUCCAACGUUAAUCGGGGCAGGGUGAGU
RNAcentral lists this ribosomal RNA (677 nucleotides) under Salmonella enterica. RNAcentral's name for it is "partial 23S ribosomal RNA". It matches the Rfam family "Bacterial large subunit ribosomal RNA", at positions 711 to 1384 of the family's 2925-position model. RNAcentral also lists the same sequence under 1 other name. Lineage: Bacteria; Pseudomonadati; Pseudomonadota; Gammaproteobacteria; Enterobacterales; Enterobacteriaceae. The record is from RNAcentral.